Molecule: ribosomal RNA, 274 nt
Filed under: uncultured bacterium
Lineage: Bacteria
Description: partial 16S ribosomal RNA
Rfam family: Bacterial small subunit ribosomal RNA
Source: RNAcentral
AUACGGAGGGUGCAAGCGUUACUCGGAAUCACUGGGCGUAAAGCGCGCGCAGGCGGCUAUUUAAGUUGGAUGUGAAAGCCUAUGGCUCAACCAUAGAACUGCAUCCAAAACUAUUUAGCUAGAGUGUGGGAGAGGAAGAUGGAAUUAGUUGUGUAGGGGUAAAAUCCGUAGAGAUAACUAGGAAUACCAAAAGCGAAGGCAAUCUUCUGGAACACUACUGACGCUGAGGCGCGAAAGCGUGCGGAGCAAACAGGAUUAGAAACCCUAGUAGUCC